GCCCCGGUAGCUCAACGGAUAGAGCAACUGCCUUCUAAGCAGUAGGUUAGAGGUUCGAGUCCUCUCCGGGGUG
Molecule: transfer RNA, 73 nt
Filed under: Anaerolineae bacterium
Lineage: Bacteria; Bacillati; Chloroflexota; Anaerolineae
Also listed under: 1 other name
Description: tRNA-Arg
Rfam family: tRNA
About the family: Transfer RNA (tRNA) molecules are approximately 80 nucleotides in length.
Source: RNAcentral